RNAcentral lists this long non-coding RNA (470 nucleotides) under Mus pahari (shrew mouse). Its description in RNAcentral is "predicted gene 15841 (MGP_PahariEiJ_G0003607.1)". The record is from RNAcentral. Lineage: Eukaryota; Metazoa; Chordata; Mammalia; Rodentia; Muridae.
GCGGGGCCUCGAAGUGAGCACGACCUCUCCACGGCUUGCCUCUACCAGGAUGUUCUGAAUCAUGUUCUGCAGUAUAGCUUCCUGCAGAAAACCAUGAAUGUUGGCAGGCAGUGGUGAGCAGAACAUGGAAAGCUACCCCAGUGCAUUGCCUCUCUCUCUCCUCUGGAACCAUCAGCCUAGAGGAUAUGGAACUGCGGUCCCACGAAGAGAUGCUGUGGAAAGGGGCGGUGUCACCCAUGACACAGGGGUCAUAUCCUACUCCUUGGAAGCAGAUGACUGCUGAGUUCCAUCCAAUGAUGUGUAUGGGUACCUCCACCUGGCAAGUUCCAGAGGCGGGAAGGAACUGGUGAGAUCAGAAAGCAGCAAGGAGGUCACAGCUCCAACUCCAACCACCCCCAGGACUCUCGGGGCCACUGCUCACUGUGUAGGUCUUGGCCUCGAUGGGCGAGAAGAUCCACAGGAUCCGAGCA